Molecule: unclassified non-coding RNA, 237 nt
Filed under: Byssoloma marginatum
Lineage: Eukaryota; Fungi; Ascomycota; Lecanoromycetes; Lecanorales; Pilocarpaceae
Description: partial contains 5.8S ribosomal RNA, internal transcribed spacer 2, and large subunit ribosomal RNA
Source: RNAcentral
CGCACAUUGCGCCCCUCGGCAUUCCGGGGGGCAUGCCUGUUCGAGCGUCAUUGCACCUCUCAAGCGUAGCUUGGUCUUGGGUCACGCCGGUUGCGGCCGACCCGAAAACGAGCGGCGGUCCUGGGGACGUCAAGCGCAGUAAAUUUUUUUCGCUCUGACCAAUCCCUCCGGGCCAGCCGGGAACCCAACAUUCCAAUAAUUGACCUCGGAUCAGGUAGGGAUACCCGCUGAACUUAA